Long non-coding RNA from Anser brachyrhynchus (Pink-footed goose), 1655 nucleotides. The record is from Ensembl. Lineage: Eukaryota; Metazoa; Chordata; Aves; Anseriformes; Anatidae.
UGUGACUGGUGCUGAUGGCUGCCCCAAUUUCAGCCUGUUCAAGCCUCAGGGCACAGUGAGAUGUCAAUGUAGUGAUCAGCGUUCCCUGGUGGACUUUUCUGGACCUUGGGCCCACCUAAUGGUGCCAAGUUUCGGUGUCACAGAGGGCUGUGUCUGCAUAUGGGGUAGGAUAAGGAAUAAUUACCAUAUAAUUAUGAUCCAGGUAAAUGCUGCAGCCAACACAUGCCUGAGAAAGAGGGGUUCGUGGAGGGGAAAAGGGAAAUGGGAUUUUUAAAUUAGAGAUGGGUGGUCCUGGUGAUCAUACACUGAGCUGAAGAUCUGAAUUUACAUCCUUGUUAAUAUCUGGAGGGACUGUGACAGCCUGGGGGAGUGGACAGCAAGCCGUUUUUCUCCGCUUUGUAUUUGCUCCCUGGGAGAAGGGGAAUGGUGGGGGCUUGUUGAAGGGCUGUUGAUUAAAUCACAAAAAUGUGAAUAUUGGCACCGAGGCUGGAAAAGAGCAGCGCGGUUGCCCACUCCCCUCUCAGUCCCCACAGGUUUGUUCUUCACCAGGGAUUAUUUGUGCCCUCGUCUGUCCCGUUUGAAAUGUCACAUCUCCUGCUGCAAUUGGAAGGAGCUUUUAUCCGUGGGGUGUGUGUGCGUGUGUAUGUGUGUCUGAGGGGGCGUUUUCGUCGCCGCUAGGUGAAUGUUUUAGUAAGCAAUGUCCAACACAUCACACGAACGCUUGAAAAGAAGCAUUUUGCUAUUACUAAAGACUGUUAUUGCAGCUUGCGUGACCUUUCAGAGAUCUCUGGGAACUCGCAAGAAGGAGCAGGCUUAUAAAAAGGGAGCACGAUUUUAUUUUUAAACUGGGGCAUAGGAGAGAGGUGGUUUAAGCCUGCUCAGUUCCCCAAAGGAGCUGCUCUCGCCCUCACAGGGCUCACCAGCAACCUCCUCCAGGCAGCUGGCAGCAAACAUCUCCACAUUUUGGUGGAGAUAAGGCAAGAGAUGCCCAAGGGCAAUACCCCAUGGCUAUGUAGCAGCCCCAUGCCCUGCUCUGAGGGUGUCAGCACCCCCUUUGUUAUUCAGGGAGUGGGCUGCUGAGCUGGGCAGGGGGCUGCGGGACCUGCUGUGGGGGGCUCCAAGGCAGCAGAAAGCGUGCUCGGAAUAUGCAAAGGAUGAGGAUGGGGCUUGGUGUGGGGCCAACAGCAUCCAGGGUGUCCAGAGUUUGGCACAGUUUCUGUCACAGGCUUGUCCCAUGCCCCCCAGCACUCUUCUGGGCGUGGGAGGGAUGAUGGUGUGAGCCAGGCACUUCUCUCCCUGAGAAAUCUGGAUAAAACCAACCAGUCUAGAGGUAAAGAGAAACAUUACUGUAAGCCCCUGUACCAUUUGUAGUAAGCAGAUCUCACACUGCUUAAUUUACCAGUACAGACACACUGAAUGUGCCUUGAAGUUCAGGAAAGAAUGGUCUUGCUAGAGGGUUUCACCCCAAAUAUGAAGUCCCUUGUGUUCUGAUUUCGCAAUAACAUCUGCAACCACGGGAUGAAAUAUUCAGUUUCUACCAAUAUAGCAUUAGCUAUUGAGUAGACACACUCUUUUUAAUGGAGCAAAGUAUAGCUCCAAAUGAGUCCACAUGGCAGAGCAGAGGCCUCGGCUAUAAUGUAUAAUUUCACAGAAUU